GGGGGGGCGUCUUUUCCCCCCGGGCCCGUGCCCGCCGGAGACCCCAACACGAACACUGUCUGAAAGCGUGCAGUCUGAGUUGAUUGAAUGCAAUCAGUUAAAACUUUCAACAAUGGAUCUCUUGGUUCCGGCAUCGAUGAAGAACGCAGCGAAAUGCGAUAACUAAUGUGAAUUGCAGAAUUCAGUGAAUCAUCGAGUCUUUGAACGCACAUUGCGCCCCCUGGUAUUCCGGGGGGCAUGCCUGUCCGAGCGUCAUUGCUGCCCUCAAGCCCGGCUUGUGUGUUGGGUCGCCGUCCCCCUCUCCGGGGGGACGGGCCCGAAAGGCAGCGGCGGCACCGCGUCCGAUCCUCGAGCGUAUGGGGCUUUGUCACAUGCUCUGUAGGAUUGGCCGGCGCCUGCCGACGUUUUCCAACCAUUCUUUCCAGGUGACCUCGAUCAGU
RNAcentral lists this ribosomal RNA (440 nucleotides) under Aspergillus niger. RNAcentral describes it as "eukaryotic LSU rRNA". The stretch from base 102 to 255 matches the Rfam family "5.8S ribosomal RNA". Lineage: Eukaryota; Fungi; Ascomycota; Eurotiomycetes; Eurotiales; Aspergillaceae. The record is from RNAcentral.